Molecule: long non-coding RNA, 739 nt
Organism: Lycium ferocissimum
Lineage: Eukaryota; Viridiplantae; Streptophyta; Magnoliopsida; Solanales; Solanaceae
Exons: 3
Source: RefSeq, a predicted model, not a curated record
AAUGAGUCGUCUCGUAGGAGGCAAUUUCAGCCAUACAGUUUAGCAAAAUUUUCCAGCAAGUUGAUCCUUAAUAAUUCCGAUCAGAUUUCCGACAACUUUAAUUCAUAGUACUUAACAUGGCUGCUUUAUUGUACAAGCACGAUGUAUUCUUGAGUUUCAGAGGAGAAGACACUCGCAAAAACUUUGUAAGUCAUUUAUACGAAGCGUUAGUUGAAAGUCGUAUCAACACGUUCAAAGAUGAUAAGAAACUAGAGAAAGGUACAUCAAUUCCAGAAGAACUUCCUAAAGCUAUUGAUGAGUCGCAAUUCGCUAUCGUCAUCUUUUCGAUGAAUUACGGUUCGUCUAGCUGGUGUUUGGAUGAACUUGUGAGGAUUAUUGAAGGUAAAAUCCAACGCGAUCGACUGUUGUACCGAUCUUUUACCGUGUAAGUCCAUCGGAAGUGGGCGAACAAAGGAAGAUGUUUGCUGAAGCUUUUAAGAAACAUGAAGUAAAUGUUGAUAGAGAAAAGGUGCAGAUAUGGAGGGAUGCUCUAAAUGAAGCAGCCAAACUACCAGGCUGGGAAAUAAGACAGUACAGGGAUAGCGAAGCUCAAAUCAUAGAAGAAGUUGUGAAAUAUAUUGUAAACAAGAAGAAGUUGGAGCAGCAGCAGACUCCAAUUAAUUUAUUGGAAGCAAACUCACCAAAUGGUUCCUCCAGGACCACCCCACUUGACUUUCUUCCUUUUUAUCUUCUCUCUCUU